AAUAUUCUUAAAUGAAAACGGAAGUCGGAUUACUUGCUAUAGACAUUGUGUUUCACAUUAACUCAGAAUUUGUUCGUUACACAUCAAGUAGCAGUAAUCGGAAUUCAAGCAGAUUCACAAAAUCAAACAGAAGUUUAACAAUUUUUAAUCAUUCGAUGAAGGUGUAAUACAAAGGAGUCGAGAACUCACCUAAUCGAACAGCAACAAAACGACUGAAACAGGCCAAAUGAAGAGCCGAAAACAGUUGCGAUAGUGGGAGCUCGAUCAAUUCCUCAGCAGUCAACAGCAGCGUGAAGACAGGAUUUCUGAUCUCAAAACACUACUUGGAAACACAGAAGAUUGAAGCAAGUAGCAGUAGUUCCAAGCAAUUGCUGAGAAUUUUUCUUUUAAACCUAUUUUUCUCUAUUUUUUUAGCAAACAUUUUGUCUCCAAACUUUGAAGAAUGCGAGAAUCUCGAAGUUAUGAAUCUUCGAGCUGUUUUUUUUUGUUUACAAUUUUGACUAUUUCUUCUUUUUGGUCUUGCUAAUGGCUGAAUCUGGUUCGUUGUGGUUGUUUGAAGAAGACGGAGGUGGGACCGUUGGUGAAUGUCGGAUUUCUGGUGAUUUGGUGGCUGGAGGGUGAAGCCCGAAGCUAUGGUUGUUGAUUUGGAGAGGGGAUCGAAGGGUCUCCCCUCGUUUGUGAAGAAGAAGACGGUAGGGGUCUAAGUGUUUGGAGAAGGUGAAAACCAUUGUUCAAUUUUUGGGGUCUGAUCUCUAUAUGUGUGGGAGAUCUCCCUGAGAAUGGAGAAGAAGGAGAGAAGAAAUAGCUGGAAUCCGAGAAAUGGGAAAGGGUCACGCUAUUUUUGUGUCUCUAAUUUGGAGAGCUAUAUUUUUUUUUGUUUACAAUUUUGACUAUUUCUUCUUUUUGGUCUUGCUAAUGGCUGAAUCUGGUUCGUUGUGGUUGUUUGAAGAAGACGGAGGUGGGACCGUUGGUGAAUGUCGGAUUUCUGGUGAUUUGGUGGCUGGAGGGUGAAGCCCGAAGCUAUGGUUGUUGAUUUGGAGAGGGAAUCGAAGGGUCUCCCCUCGUUUGUGAAGAAGAAGAUGCCGGAUUUCUAGUGAUUUGGUGGCUGGAGUGUGAAGCUAGAAGCUAUGGUUGUUGAUUUGGAGAGGGGAUAGAAGGGUCUCCUCUCGUUUGUGAAGAAGAAGACGCUAGGGGUCUAAGUGUUUGGAGAAGGUGAAAACCAUUGCUCAAUUUUUGGGGUCUGAUCUCUAUAUGUGUGGGAGAUCUCCCCGAGAAUGGAGAAGAAGGAGAGAAGAAAUAGCUGGAAUAAGGGUCACGCUAUUUUUGUGUCUCUAAUUUGGAGAGCUAUAUUUUUUUUUUUGUAUACAAUUUUGUCUAUUUCUUCUUUUUGGUCUUGCUAAUGGCUGAAUCUGGUUCGUUGUGGUUGUUUGAAGAAGACGUAGAAGAGGCCACUGGAGAUUGGUAAAUUGGAUGAUGGUCUCUACAGGGAAUAAGGGUCACGCUAUUUUUGUGUCUCUAAUUUGGAGAGCUAUAUUUUUUUUUUUGUAUACAAUUUUGUCUAUUUCUUCUUUUUGGUCUUGCUAAUGGCUGAAUCUGGUUCGUUGUGGUUGUUUGAAGAAGACGCAGGUGGGAUCGUUGGUGAAUGCCGGAUUUCUAGUGAUUUGGUGGCUGGAGUGUGAAGCUCGAAGCUAUGGUUGUUGAUUUGGAGAGGGGAUAGAAGGGUCUCCUCUCGUUUGUGAAGUAGAAGACGCUAGGGGUCUAAGUGUUUGGAGAAGGUGAAAACCAUUGCUCAAUUUUGGGUCUUGUCUCUGUGAGUGCGGGGUAUCUCCCUGAGAAUGGAGAAGAAGGAGAGGGAAAAUAGCUGGAAUCUGAAAAAUAAAAAAGGGGUCACGCUAUUUUCCGUGUCUCUAAGGGAAAGGGGUUUGGACGAGGUAAGUGACGGAUUGGGCUGUUAUUGGGUCAGAUAUGUGAGGGGAUAAUUUGGGCCUAAUCAAAUUCAAUUAAAAUGACCCAGAAAAUUGGUCCUUUAUUAAGC
RNAcentral lists this long non-coding RNA (2035 nucleotides) under Nicotiana benthamiana. RNAcentral describes it as "long non-coding RNA (NBEN_LNC030751)". The record is from RNAcentral. Lineage: Eukaryota; Viridiplantae; Streptophyta; Magnoliopsida; Solanales; Solanaceae.